GAUGAACGCUGGCGGCGUGCUUAACACAUGCAAGUCGAACGAUGAAGCCCAGCCUGCUGGGUGGAUUAGUGGCGAACGGGUGAGUAACACGUGAGUAACCUGCCCUUAACUCUGGGAUAAGCCUGGGAAACUGGGUCUAAUACCGGAUAGGAGCGUCCACCGCAUGGUGGGUGUUGGAAAGAUUUAUCGGUUUUGGAUGGACUCGCGGCCUAUCAGCUUGUUGGUGAGGUAAUGGCUCACCAAGGCGACGACGGGUAGCCGGCCUGAGAGGGUGACCGGCCACACUGGGACUGAGACACGGCCCAGACUCCUACGGGAGGCAGCAGUGGGGAAUAUUGCACAAUGGGCGCAAGCCUGAUGCAGCGACGCCGCGUGAGGGAUGACGGCCUUCGGGUUGUAAACCUCUUUCAGUAGGGAAGAAGCGAAAGUGACGGUACCUGCAGAAGAAGCACCGGCUAACUACGUG
Molecule: ribosomal RNA, 466 nt
Filed under: uncultured bacterium
Lineage: Bacteria
Description: partial 16S ribosomal RNA
Rfam family: Bacterial small subunit ribosomal RNA
Source: RNAcentral